This 371-nucleotide long non-coding RNA is filed under the name Rattus norvegicus (Norway rat). RNAcentral describes it as "long non-coding RNA NONRATT015352". Lineage: Eukaryota; Metazoa; Chordata; Mammalia; Rodentia; Muridae. The record is from RNAcentral.
GUAACUUAAAUGAUGAGCAUGUCAACAAAAUGAAAUCAGAUAGAGUUCCAGAUGUGGUCUUGAUUAAGAAGAGCUAUGACCGUACCAAACGCCAGCGCCGUAGAAACUGGAAACUGAAAGAGCUUGCAAGAGACAGAGAAGACAUGGACACAGAUGAUGAAAGGCAAUAUCAAGAUUUUCUUGAAGAUCUUGAAGAAGAUGAGACAAUUAGAAAAAAUGUCAACAUUUACAGAGGUUGGUGUUUUAGUAUUGAAGUCAUAUUGUAGAAAUGUAGGGUGUUUGGUGUUUUAAAACUGUUUCAUAAGUGACUUUUAUUUGUCUUAUAAACUAAUAUAGUUAGGCUUUUACCUAACAGAUAAUAAGGAGCAGUA